This is a non-coding RNA of Podarcis lilfordi (Lilford's wall lizard), 1731 nucleotides long. The record is from the annotation of a GenBank genome assembly. Lineage: Eukaryota; Metazoa; Chordata; Lepidosauria; Squamata; Lacertidae.
UGAACACUACUAGAGAGCAUGAUAGUUCUUCGUAUUGUGCAAAUGGCCUCAUAAGCAACAAAAGAUUAAGAGCCUCUAUGCCAAAACAGCCUUCCUGAGUAGGUACAGUUACAUGAAUUAGAGCCAUUUUCGGCAGGGUUUAACAAUUAUUUCAGCUGACAAACAUCCUUUCAAACCUAACUAUGUUUUAAUGACUUUUUAAUUGGCAGUUUUUAGACUUCACUAGAGACGCAUAAAAUUGCACUCUUUAAAAAAAAACCACAGUUCAGUUAACCAACUGAUGAAGUGGCUUUUUCAAUUUUAAUUGUUCGGCUAAUUUUAUUUCUGUGGUUGAGAUGGAUUAACUUCUGAGCAAAGCUGAAAACAGUAAGCCUAGUCAGUGUUUCAAAAAUAAUAAUAAUAUUUUGUUUAGGUUCAACUCUGCAAAAAAACUACUGUUUUUUUUAAAAAAAGAAACUGAUUUUUUUUUUAAAUUCAAAAACCCAUGUGACUACUAAAUGUAUGUGUAUAAGAUAAAUUAUGCAACAACUGAUGAAAUGAAAACAUACCUCAUACUGUACAUCUACAAACUCUGAAGUUUGCAUAUCCAAUCCUUCAUAUUAGGCUAAUAAAAUUUUGCUGUUAGAUAAACAGACUUUAUUAGGUGUGACAUUUGUAAAAUGACACACACCUUGAGUCUGGAUGUUUUUUUAAACCAGGGAGCUAUCAAAGCAUAAAUGUCUACAGUUUAGCACUGUAAUCAGAGAAGACAUAUAUUACAAUACAGUGAAGCUUAGCUGUUGCUAAAUGUGUUAAAUGGCGGCCCGACAGUACCCCUUUCAGAUGGUUGGUAGGCCUCACUUGGCAUGCUCUCAAUCAGAGAACACAACAAACAAGAAAAAAUUCCCAGAGAGAGAAAAUUAGCAGGCCAGGGAGAAGGUUAGGCUAGAAUCUUUAUCUCUGAUAUGCUAGAUUUUGUGUAUGCAGGGAAUGUUUUACUACUGUUCAAUCACAGUCCAGCUACAGGCUUACCAUCUCAAUGAGAACGAGGCCUUACACUUUCCACAUACUAGUAAAGGAUAGAAUGCCUAUUCAGUAAUUCUCAGAGAGUUACACUGUUAUUCCAUUCCCUAUAAAAACAAACAAACCCAAUAAUAAUAAAAUAAAGCUUGAUCAAAAUUCAUAAUAUGAGAUGUGCAGAAAAGAACCCCUUAUUUUCCAUUGAUUUUUAUUUUCUUUUAUUGCUUUUUUGCAGUCCUAUUUUUUAAGAAAAAGAGGUGCUGGAAUUCAUUAUGAACACUUGUUCCCUUGUUCUCUUAGAAUGGCAGUGACACCCACCUGAGAGGUGCCGGAACUGAGUUCCAGUGAGUUCCAGCUGAAAAAAGGCAUGUUUUUUGUCUUUUGCAAGAUGAAAUGGCAUAUCAAUGACACUCAGACAUUUCUCUUUUUCUUUUUGUGUUGAAGGACUGAAUCAUGUGGUCCAUCCUGCAUUCCGCAGUUGGCUUAAUUCAACAUCCAGUUCCCCAUUCAAAAGCAGAAGCAUCUCUCUAAACAAGGCAAUGCAGGUCUACCCUCACCAGACCUGUGGGAAACAGCUUUACUUGCUAUAUUUUGAGAUUAUUUAUUGUGAUUCUAUUAAUGCAUUUUCAUGGUUCUUGUAAGCUGCCUUGGAUUUGCAUCCUGAAAGGUGGGCUAUAAAUAACUGCAAUAAACGAAUGAAUCUGUGAGCUCCCCCACCUCACCACAAAGGGC